AUUGAACGCUGGCGGCAGGCCUAACACAUGCCAGUCGAACGGUAACAGGAAGACGCUUGCUUCUUUGCUGACGAGUGGCGGACGGGUGAGUAAUGUCUGGGAAACUGCCUGAUGGAGGGGGAUAACUACUGGAAACGGUAGCUAAUACCGCAUAACGUCGCAAGACCAAAGAGGGGGACCUUCGGGCCUCUUGCCAUCGGAUGUGCCCAGAUGGGAUUAGCUAGUAGGUGGGGUAACGGCUCACCUAGGCGACGAUCCCUAGCUGGUCUGAGAGGAUGACCAGCCACACUGGAACUGAGACACGGUCCAGACGCCUGCGGGAGGCAGCAGUGGGGAAUAUUGCACAGUGGGCGCGAGCCUGAUGCAGCCAUGCCGCGUGUAUGAAGAAGGCCUUCGGGUUGUAAAGUACUUUCAGCGGGGAGGAAGGGAGUAAAGUUAAUACCUAUGCUCAUUGACGUUACCCGCAGAAGAAGCACCGGCUAACUCCGUG
This 490-nucleotide ribosomal RNA is filed under the name uncultured bacterium. Its description in RNAcentral is "partial 16S ribosomal RNA". It matches the Rfam family "Bacterial small subunit ribosomal RNA", at positions 30 to 507 of the family's 1533-position model. The record is from RNAcentral.